UUAAAAAGUUAAUUGUUCAAUCAAUUUAGUUUGAAUUUUAAAUAUUAUUAUAAUUUUUAAUAUUUUAGAGGUUAAAAAAAAUAAUUUAAUUUUUAUUAUUGUAAUAUGAAAAAAUUAUUAUUAUUAUAGUUUAUAGUAUUGUGAAAGAAUUUUUUUAAUUAAUUAAAAGAAGAAUUUAUUUUUUGUACCUUGUGUAUCAGGGUUUAUUAAAAUUUUUUAAAUAUUUAUAAUUCUCGAAUUUAAAAGAGUUAAAAAAUUAUUUUUAUUGAUGUAGAAUAAUUAUAUAAAAUAAUUUUUUAGUAGUGAAAUGUUAUUCGUUUUUAAAUAUAUCUAGUUUUUUAAGAAAAAAAUUUAAUUUUAUUAUUAUUAAUAUAAUUUUUACUUAUUAAUAUUAUAUUUUUAAUAGUUUAUAUUUUUAGGGAUUAGCUUAAAAAUAAAAUUUUAUUAAAAUAAGAAUUAAUUAAUUUUUUAGGAUUAGAAAUUUUCAUAAUUUUAAGUAUGUUAUAAUUUAAUUUAAAAAUAUUUUUAUUUUUAUUUUGUAUAAAUAGUUUAUUAAAAUUUAAAUUUUAAUUUAAUAAAUUUAGUAAUAAUGAUAAAAUUAGUAUAAAUUUAUUGAAAAAUUAUUAAAUUAUUUUAUGUUAAUUAAAGGAAUUCGGCAAAUUAAUUUUCACCUGUUUAAUAAAAACAUGUCUUUUUGGUAUUAAUUUAAGGUUUAACCUGCCCGAUGAAAUUUGAAUGGCCGCGGUAUUUUGACUGUGCUAAGGUAGCAUAAUCAUUAGUUUUUUAAUUGAAAGCUGGAAUGAAGGGUUGGAUGAAAAAUUAACUGUCUCUAAUUAAAUUUAUUAGAAUUUUAUUUUUAAGUUAAAAAGCUUAAAUAUAUUUAAAAGACGAGAAGACCCUAUAGAGUUUAAUAUAUCUAAUUUAUUUUUAUUUAGAAUUUAUUUUUUUUAAUAAUGAUGUAUUUAAUUGGGGUGAUUAAAAAAUUUAAUAAACUUUUUUUAUAAAUUUAUAUUGAUUAAUAAAUUAAUGAUCCAAAUAUUUUGAUUAAAAGAUAAAUUACCUUAGGGAUAACAGCGUAAUUUUAUUAAAGAGUUCAAAUCGAAAAUAAAGUUUGCGACCUCGAUGUUGGAUUAAAAUUUAUAUUUGGUGUAGAAGCUAAAUAAUUUAAGUCUGUUCGACUUUUAAAAUUUUACAUGAUCUGAGUUUAAACCGGUGUAAGCCAGGUUGGUUUCUAUCUUUAAAAAAUUGAAAUAUUUUAGUACGAAAGGACCAAAUAUU
This 1278-nucleotide ribosomal RNA is filed under the name Longitarsus membranaceus. RNAcentral describes it as "16S ribosomal RNA". The stretch from base 1067 to 1226 matches the Rfam family "Archaeal large subunit ribosomal RNA", at positions 2542 to 2701 of the family's 2987-position model. Lineage: Eukaryota; Metazoa; Arthropoda; Insecta; Coleoptera; Chrysomelidae. The record is from RNAcentral.